RNAcentral lists this ribosomal RNA (467 nucleotides) under uncultured bacterium. Its description in RNAcentral is "partial 16S ribosomal RNA". It matches the Rfam family "Bacterial small subunit ribosomal RNA", at positions 28 to 506 of the family's 1533-position model. The record is from RNAcentral.
GACGAACGCUGGCGGCGUGCUUAACACAUGCAAGUCGAACGGAAAGGCCCUGCUUUUUUGGGGUGCUCGAGUGGCGAACGGGUGAGUAACACGUGAGUAACCUGCCCUUGACUUUGGGAUAACUUCAGGAAACUGGGGCUAAUACCGGAUAGGAGCUCCUGCUGCAUGGUGGGGGUUGGAAAGUUUCGGCGGCUGGGGAUGGACUCGCGGCUUAUCAGCUUGUUGGUGGGGUAGUGGCUUACCAAGGCUUUGACGGGUCGCCGGCCUGAGAGGGUGACCGGCCACAUUGGGACUGAGAUACGGCCCAGACGCCUACGGGAGGCAGCAGUGGGGAAUAUGGCACAAGGGGCGGAGGCCUGAUGCAGCAACGCCGAGUGCGGGAUGACGGCCUUCGGGUUGUAAACCGCUUUCGCCUGUGACGAGGCGUGAGUGACGGUAAUGGGUAAAGAAGCACCGGCUAACUACGU